AACGAACGCUGGCGGCAGGCUUAACACAUGCAAGUCGAACGCCCCGCAAGGGGAGUGGCAGACGGGUGAGUAACGCGUGGGAAUCUACCCAGUUCUACGGAACAACUGAGGGAAACUUCAGCUAAUACCGUAUACGCCCUACGGGGGAAAGAUUUAUCGGAAUUGGAUGAGCCCGCGUAAGAUUAGCUAGUUGGUGGGGUAAAGGCCUACCAAGGCGACGAUCUUUAGCUGGUCUGAGAGGAUGAUCAGCCACACUGGGACUGAGACACGGCCCAGACUCCUACGGGAGGCAGCAGUGGGGAAUAUUGGACAAUGGGCGCAAGCCUGAUCCAGCCAUGCCGCGUGAGUGAUGAAGGCCUUAGGGUUGUAAAGCUCUUUCAGUGGGGACGAUAAUGACGGUACCCACAGAAGAAGCCCCGGCUAACUUCGUGCCAGCCGCCGCCGUAA
RNAcentral lists this ribosomal RNA (447 nucleotides) under uncultured bacterium. RNAcentral's name for it is "partial 16S ribosomal RNA". It matches the Rfam family "Bacterial small subunit ribosomal RNA", at positions 29 to 523 of the family's 1533-position model. The record is from RNAcentral.